CAUAAAUGCAGUUUUUCACUAUUCACAUUCAACGUUUGACCGUUCGUCUUAUUUAAACUUUUUUUUAUGAUUAGUAUUUUUAUUACUAUUAGAUGAUAAAACAUGAAUAAUACUUUACGUGUGACUAAAUAUUUUCAAAUUUUUUACAAAUUUUUUAAAUAAGACGGACGGUCAAACAUUGGACACGGAUAUCCACGGCUACACUUAUU
RNAcentral lists this microRNA precursor (209 nucleotides) under Oryza sativa Indica Group (long-grained rice). RNAcentral describes it as "MIR812 microRNA precursor family". It matches the Rfam family "MIR812 microRNA precursor family". Lineage: Eukaryota; Viridiplantae; Streptophyta; Magnoliopsida; Poales; Poaceae. The record is from Rfam by way of RNAcentral.